RNAcentral lists this transfer RNA (71 nucleotides) under Loxodonta africana (African savanna elephant). It matches the Rfam family "tRNA". Rfam says of the family: Transfer RNA (tRNA) molecules are approximately 80 nucleotides in length. Their secondary structure includes four short double-helical elements and three loops (D, anti-codon, and T loops). Further hydrogen bonds mediate the characteristic L-shaped molecular structure. tRNAs have two regions of fundamental functional importance: the anti-codon, which is responsible for specific mRNA codon recognition, and the 3' end, to which the tRNAs corresponding amino acid is attached (by aminoacyl-tRNA synthetases). tRNAs cope with the degeneracy of the genetic code in two manners: having more than one tRNA (with a specific anti-codon) for a particular amino acid; and 'wobble' base-pairing, i.e. permitting non-standard base-pairing at the 3rd anti-codon position. Lineage: Eukaryota; Metazoa; Chordata; Mammalia; Proboscidea; Elephantidae. The record is from Rfam by way of RNAcentral.
GGCUUGGUGGUUCAGUAGUAGAAUUCUUGCCCUCCAUGUGGGAUACCCGGGUUCAGUUCCUGGUCAAUCCA